Mobula hypostoma (lesser devil ray) is the source of this 617-nucleotide long non-coding RNA. RefSeq lists it as uncharacterized. The record is from RefSeq and is a predicted model, not a curated record. The transcript has 3 exons. Lineage: Eukaryota; Metazoa; Chordata; Chondrichthyes; Myliobatiformes; Myliobatidae.
UUCACACCGAGAGUCGAGGAUCUGGCGCCACUCGAGUUAGAUGAAGAGCGAGAGGAGGCGGACGUUUGUGUCUGCAAGAACCCCAAUUGCGUUGCAAAGCUGGCAGGAGACAGAGAUAAAACGCUGGAGAGAACUGGUUGAAGGAUUCGAUCCGGUGGGAAAACGCGAGUCGAUGGAGCCAAGAGUGGAGUGACAUUUGCAAUCUUCCAGUCCUCUGGGACCAUGCCAGAAUCAAGUGAUUCUUGAAAGAUCAUGACCAAGGCAUCCGCGAUCUCUUCAGCAACCUCUCUCAGGAUUCUGGGAUGUGUUUGAUCUGGUCCAGGUAUGUUAAUCACCUUAAGUCCUUUGAGUUUGGCUAGGACGUUUUCUUUUGUAAUACCAAUGGCACUCACUCCUGCUCCCUGAACUUCACAGACCUAGUGUCUUCCACAGUGAAGCCAGAUGCAAAGUACCCAUUAAGUUCAUCUGCCAUUUCUUUGUUUCCCAUUACUACCUCACCAGCUUCAUUUUCCAGUGGUCCAAUACUAACUUUAACCUCCCUUUUACUGUUUAUAUAACUGAAAAAACUUUUGGUAUCCUGCUUUAUAUUUUUGGCUAGUUUGCCCUCAUAUUUCAUC